UAAGGAUUGUUGAACUAUUACAGCCAUUUCAUAAGAAAUGACAGCAGCAAUUUCAAUUAGGAAAAGGGGAAACUAAUAAGAAGGGAAAGAAAAUAAAGCUAACAGAUAACAGAGACGAAUGCAGAAUUACAAUAAACUGGUGUGACAGCUCUUCUGCUAAAGAGGAAGAUCAAAGGUAAAAGAAGGACAGCACUCUCACCCUUUCUGACGGUACCCAGGCAUGUCCAGCAUAGCUUUCCGAGGGAACAGGCGGAGCAGUUUGAGGACCUGCUGCUUCCAGGAGACCAGCCUUUUCUUGUGAGGACAUCCCGCCUGGGAAUGACAUGUGUCCGUUCUGGCCUGCUGAAGGUGUGCUGGAUGAAGGAGACUUGUCGUGCCAAACAAGGCCGGGGUCCAGAGACUCUGCAGAACUGGGCCACUCAUCUGAGCCUUGGCGUGGGUGGUAGGGGCUGGAUGGAGCACGUGGUGUAUACCCACUGGAAAGGUGCUCCUCCAGGUGGUUCA
Long non-coding RNA from Oreochromis niloticus (Nile tilapia), 504 nucleotides. RefSeq lists it as uncharacterized. The record is from RefSeq and is a predicted model, not a curated record. NCBI's taxonomy places the organism in Eukaryota, Metazoa, Chordata, Actinopteri, Cichliformes, Cichlidae. The transcript has 2 exons.